CACCUGCAACAGUUUCUACGAUUUUCUUUUCAAUCUGUACACGGCGUUCGAUAUAUGCUUCCGUAUCCGGUCAGCUGUAAUGGAUGCCGUAUGCCGAGCUUGCGAACUGCGAACUUGUGUGACUCCCGGUUCAUCCUCUUUGUUCGGGUCAUUGGGUUGGUGUUGGUCACCAUAUUCUGAAUGUUUCACCUAUCGUUGCAGUGUACUGUUCUUGAUCUGCUGCGAAGCGACGAACCGCAACGGCAGUCACUCGCCUCAGCGAACUUCUGUCUGCUGCAUCUCAAAGGAGCAUGGGGACCUGAUAAUACCUUCAACUAAAGAAACCAAAUGUGCUCUCGUGUGGUCCUGACGGAAAAGUAGUAUCAACAAGAACCCUCCACUUUUUCGACCAAGUUAUCGUUAUGAGAUCCUUCUGAUGGCUUCUUACUAGGCUAUGCCGCUCCGAAGCAUUGAGAUGACGAAGCGUCGUGGUAGCUGCACCUCUGCCUUCGAAAGAUGAAUCAGUCAUUCCACACUGUGCUUACUGGCUUUGUGUAGAGUCUGGCAAAUCCGACAGACUUGGACUGCCUUUUUCAAGAAAGUUUGAAAUAGCAUCCCUUAUGCACCUGCAUUUCAAUUCCAAUCUGUAUUACAAGAAUGACAGACCACUCAACAGAGAUGAACAUCUGAAAGUGAAAGAGCUGGAAUGAAGAUACGUUAAUCUGUGUCAAAGGUUCUUGGUAUGUGUGCGAGUCGAGGACAUAGGUCUCAAGCUUAUUCCUGUCUUCAGAAGAGGUGACAAAUAUGCUCCUUCUAUCUAUUAACCAGCUCCACUUUUUAGGGUUCCCUGUAAACUAAUGGAGCACAUCAUGUACUACCACGUUGUCAACUAAGUUGACUCUGUCAAUUUCUUUUUUUAAAUUCCAGCAUGGCUUUAGAAAAGGGUAUUCAGGCAAAACUAACGUAGUGGAAUUCGUUCACAGCAUUUCAAACUGUCUUGAUUUCUGGGUCCAUGUAGAUGUAGUAUUCUUUUUAUUUUGUAAGGGCCUUUGACACUGUGCUCUACGCUCGCGUGUUGGCCAAAGUAGCCUAAUUAAAAUUUGAUCCUGCUACCUGGAUAUGCAGUUUCUCAACUAACCGUAACUGUGGCGACAUCUCGUGAGGAGAACCUAUCAUAUCGCCACCAUGCAGCAUUUGUUAUAUUACAAUCGCUUCACAUUUUAAUCUAGUCAAAAGCAAGGCCUUUUGGUGAUCGGUCUUGUAUAAUUACGUGCCCAUCCGUUAUGUAACACCACACUGGGUUCUUCAGCCUAUGAGAGAGAAAUAAAUAUAUUGCCAAGUAAAUUGUCUACAAGGCUCGUUAUUCCAUUUCGCCACACUACCACAAGCAAUUGUUAGAGUAGUGGCCCAGGGCAUGAAGCUCGCCACUAAUCAUCAUUCAAACAAAGUUCAUAAUGUAAAAUGCUUUACUCAGAACACUGGCUUAACACAACAAUUAAGAAUAAAGAGAGUAAACGUUUCAUUGCCUAUCCAGGUGGCAUCAUCCCUCCAACAGAGAACAAUCAAAAACAACAUCAAAGGAGUCAAAUCGGUGGUCCGCAUUCCUUUCAUGCAAUGUAUUUCAUACGCUGUUUGGAGGGCACUGUGCCCUUCAGGCAUUUUGACUGUGCAUAUCAAGUUGAGUGCAUAGAAUCUGAUGCAACCUACAUUGGCGAGAUAGACAAAAGACGUGGGACAAGACUAAAAGAGCCAGUUGCCAGGGCUACUAAUGCUUAGCUUAACUAAACAGGACCGAAUCAGUCUACCACUGCUCUCCUAAGGGACAUAUAUUUUGAUGGUGCAGUAACCUUUGCUCAUGACUAGCGAUGGGACCCUAGAAAGUUCUUAGAAUCCUGCUUUAUCAGGCGUGAUGCUUCAGCCUGUAAUACAUACCGUGGCCCCCUAUCGGAUGUGUAAGAUUCCCUCUUAGAUAGGCUGAUGUGCUCAUCUUUGGCCUCUGUUGUACUGAUGAUGCCACCCGGAUAGGCGACAAAACGUUUACGCUCUGUUUUUAUUCGUUGUGUUGAGCGGUGUUUGCAGUAAAGGACGCUACAUUAUGAGGUUGUCACCCGGCUUUUGGAAUAUAUUUUCAAAUAAAGUUGUUGUUUUACAAAGCUCAAUACAUUGCAGAAAUCAUUCUUGUUGCCUAUUGUUUUGGGGGUGCCAUUCUAGCAGUCACAUCAAGCAGUGAAGGACCAAUUUAAAAAGUAAAGGCAGUCUGAUUUAUGUUCUUGCCGACAUGGCACAGCGUAUGUACGAGGUAGCUCCAUUUCAGAAGCCUGAGAACACUCAAAGCAAUUAGUGUGCUAGCAUCAGAUAUGGUGUACAGCAUUACAUAUUUGCUUUUGCUAGGGCAACUAAGAAGGGUGGAUAGAAAGGCAGUUACAACCUGUUUCCACAAAAGACACUCAGAUUCAUUAGCAAUUUCCUCUAAGAGAGCCAAGGCUUUUUCUAGAUUACUAGAACAUGGGUACCUGGUUAUAAAUAACAAGAAUUCAUCUACCAGAAGUCAGUGUUUCACACACCCUGCUUUCCAUCAACACUAUUAAAAGGUGUGACCCCCAAACCUGCACAAAAUUCCUGGAGAGUCUUUACUGGACACUGUUGCUGUCCCUCUCAACAGGUGCUCCCUAUGAACCCGAUUCACAGUUCUGGAUGCACUGCCUGAGCUAACUUCAGCAUGCUUUCCCAACACGAAUGGUAACUGCUAUGAGGAGUGUUGUACUUACUGAAAGCAACAUGAAAUGCUGUACCUUGACAGGUAACGUUGAUAUCCUUCUUAAGACCGUAGAGAGAUGUUCCUUGCUCCCUUUCUUCCAAAUCUUACUAUCAGACGCAAGCCCACUUGCCACCAAGCCAAUGAGAUGUGCCUCACAGUCAGUGCAAUCAAGGGAAUCAAUCACUGAGGCUCAGAAAAGCUGUUUUCCAUCGGGAUCUGAUCCAGCACUGAGCCGUGAGUAGCCCCGUGAAAGUACCAAGGCUUCUUCGAAUUUUAAAUGUGCCAGCAUUUGUUUUCCUCCCCUCCUUCUUUUUAUGUAGUAGCUGAUUACUUUAGCCUUGUACUGCUUUGGAGAUUGUUGAGAUGAUGUAAGAGGUGGAACUAGGCUUUAUGCAAAAUGAGGCAAAGUGUGACUAUGUACAAAUCUUCUGAGAAUGUCUAUGUAUCAUUCACACAAAGAGAGGAUACGUGUUACAUCUUUUUCCGGUUUUGAUAUUUAUUUAUUUAUGAAUAUGUCUCAAAGGCUAUUGCAGGCAUUACAUGAGGGGGGACAUCAACAUGGGUCACUUAACAAAUACGGAAGUUACAAGGAACAUACAUAUUUGGAAGACAAGACUCUAUUUUUUGUUCGUUCAUCAGUCUUGCUCAAGAAAUUGUUCACUGUAGCAAUGGUACACAAUGUCACGAAAGGAGUGCUCAUCUAUCGUUCCGCAAGACUCAUUAAAAAGGACUAGUGUUGUGUUUCAACACAACAUGUUGAACUCAUGAACCAUGCAUCAUCCUGAGAGCUAUAGAUCAUCCUAAAUACAGAUGCUGAAUUAUUUUAAAUGUGAUAGACGAGCUGUGCGAAGAGGUACCCCCAGUUAGGAUCUUGGGUACUUGAAGCCUGUGGCAUUUUCUGUGGGAAAGGCUUGCCAGACCCUCUUCACUGCACAGGCUGGGAUGACCAUGAUCUUGUUUUUUCCAAGCUUGUGCCAUACUCACCUUGCAAACUGGCGAUACGCAGUGUAUCUGCAUCGUCUACACAGAUGUACAUAAAAUAUAGUUUAGGCAAAUAGGUAACCGGUUACAGUACAGUGUGUGUGCAUUGUCAUUUCUACAUGUACCUGAGAGUAACUGCAGUUUACCUGCCCACACCUUGUACAUUACUACACAUGCUGUGUUCUUUUAGAACCCAAAAUUGUUUUGCUUUUCACUGAAUCGACAAUCAAGAACACUCAAUAUCGCUAAAAACCUACGCUAAAACCUUAUGCACAGGGCAAUACAUAAAAACGUGACUCAGGACACAGCACACUGACAAUUACAAAACUGCCUAUAUUGGUUUUCUCCAGUUCAGAGUCGUGUACUGUAUAGCCUUUUUAUGUGCUGCGCCCUGUACUGGAGCUUUUAACGACUCUAUUGCAUGACCAAACCAGUUUUGGGCGCCCAAAUUUUAACAUCGUUCGACAAGGACACAUGUGACUUACUUGUGAAUACAGUCGCUCAUAGGUUCGCGCUGCCCACGGAGUUCAAUAUGCGACCUUCAGGACAGUCAUAUUGAAGAAUAGAAGUUGGAAAUCUUUGUGGGUUGUAAUGCACUGAUACUGCAGUCAUUCGGCAGUGUUUUCGAGCUCCUUGCAGCACAAGCAUUCGAUCUCCUUCGGCAUUAUGACACACCAGCCACACCGGCACCAUGAACAGCAAGUGCGCAUUAGAUAUCAGAACACGAAAUUUCUGAGAACGUUUACAUGUUCGAUCACAGUGUGCGUUAAAAAGCUCAUCGCUUACCUGAAGACAGUCGACUCAUGCUGUUUGCUUCAUCUGUAACUGAUGUUCGUAGAGCUCUAACUUCGUCUCGCAUUCACGGCAUCGGCGACGUUUCGAAAGCCUACCGAGCUGUUCAGCACGCAGAAUUUUCUUCUCGAUGUCUCGAUCGCAGAAAGGUCAGAAAGAAGUUCCGGGCUCGAAGUCUCCGCAUUUCUGCCUUCGACGUCCAUAUUGAAGAUCGCUUUCCGGACGGAUGCCGGCGCUCUCACAAACUCACUAACAACAGAACUUCCGGUCCGGGCGCCCAAUGAAACGUGGCCCUCGUGACUUCGUCACACACACGGAAAUUGGCGGAUGUCCACUGCAAAGAGGCUAGAUUUCGGCCCCGAUUGCGCGAGUUGAGGGGGAAAAGCGAAGCCGGUUUUGAGCUCCCUGUUUGGCAAACUUUGCCUCCGCGCACAGCCAAAAUAUUUCGCGUGUGGCUUGGAGGCAUAUUAUACCUUCGUAAUAGAUGCAAACGAAAUAUUUGUCGAACUUCUGGUCAGAGUCCCUUUAAGACACCGAUAAUGCCGCACGGUACAGCAGAUUUAUCAUUGUCAGCCAUAUUUCAUUUGUUAAAAUUUGUCGUCAUAUUUGUUCAAAAAUAAAAGCACAAGUCGCCAUACUUGAAUUUAUCCCUUGAAUUGCUUACCGCGAGCAUCUGCAAAUGUUGCGCAGGCUUUUGCACUGUACUAAUCGCAAAAGCAUAUCUGAUUACAAUAAAUAUUUCAAGAGGAAGUCAUUUAAAGGACAACGGAAACGAAAUUUGUCCAUUGCAAAAAUGGGACCGAACAAGGUGUAAAUGCAUAAUGUAAAAAACCCCGAGACUAGGGA
Molecule: long non-coding RNA, 5356 nt
Organism: Ornithodoros turicata
Lineage: Eukaryota; Metazoa; Arthropoda; Arachnida; Ixodida; Argasidae
Exons: 3
Source: RefSeq, a predicted model, not a curated record